RNAcentral lists this ribosomal RNA (450 nucleotides) under uncultured bacterium. Its description in RNAcentral is "partial 16S ribosomal RNA". It matches the Rfam family "Bacterial small subunit ribosomal RNA", at positions 354 to 796 of the family's 1533-position model. The record is from RNAcentral.
GUGGGGAAUAUUGGACAAUGGGCGAAAGCCUGAUCCAGCCAUGCCGCGUGUGUGAAGAAGGUCUUCGGAUUGUAAAGCACUUUAAGUUGGGAGGAAGGGCAGUAAGUUAAUACCUUGCUGUUUUGACGUUACCGACAGAAUAAGCACCGGCUAACUUCGUGCCAGCAGCCGCGGUAAUACGAAGGGUGCAAGCGUUAAUCGGAAUUACUGGGCGUAAAGCGCGCGUAGGUGGUUUUGUAAGUUGGAGGUGAAAUCCCCGGGCUCAACCUGGGAACGGCCUCCAAAACUGCAUGACUAGAGUACGGUAGAGGGUAGUGGAAUUUCCUGUGUAGCGGUGAAAUGCGUAGAUAUAGGAAGGAACACCAGUGGCGAAGGCGACUACCUGGACUGAUACUGACACUGAGGUGCGAAAGCGUGGGGAGCAAACAGGAUUAGAAACCCUUGUAGUCC